GAUGAAAUAUGAAGUUUUAUUAAAAGAAAAAGGGGUGAAAAGAAUAAAGUUUUGUCCAUCUUUGUUCAUCAUAGCUGAAAGUUAGAGAAAAGAAAGGAGAGGAGAAAGCUCUUGAGUAUUCGGUCAUUAGGAGGAGGAAAAUUGAAGGAAAUCCCCAACCAUAGUGGGCUUGGAGCUAUGAGGGAAUUCGGAGUGGCCAACCGUUCUGAAAGUUUGAUUUUCUUCUAGUGAACUGGACAUCCUUUUAAUUACGUUUGAGGUUUUGGGCUUUUAAAUGUAAUAAGGCCGCUUACUUAUUUUUGAUGGUUUUUAAUAUGUAUUACUAAGAUAGGUAAUACUUGUUUUAACUGUUGAAAUUGGAUAGCUUUAGGGCUCGUUUUCAAAAACAACAAUUGAUUUCAAAAUAACAUGACAACAAGCAAAGCUUCCGCAAUGAAA
Long non-coding RNA from Gossypium arboreum, 438 nucleotides. RefSeq lists it as uncharacterized. The record is from RefSeq and is a predicted model, not a curated record. The transcript is spliced from 2 exons. NCBI's taxonomy places the organism in Eukaryota, Viridiplantae, Streptophyta, Magnoliopsida, Malvales, Malvaceae.